CCUACGGGAGGCAGCAGUGGGGAAUAUUGCGCAAUGGGCGAAAGCCUGACGCAGCGACGCCGCGUGAGGGAUGAAGGUCUUCGGAUCGUAAACCUCUGUCAGCAGGGAAGAACGGUCACUGUGCUAAUCAGCAGUGAAUUGACGGUACCUGCAAAGGAAGCACCGGCUAACUCCGUGCCAGCAGCCGCGGUAAUACGGAGGGUGCGAGCGUUAAUCGGAAUUACUGGGCGUAAAGCGCUCGUAGGCGGUAUGUCAAGUCAAGGGUGAAAUCCCCGCGCUCAACGUGGGAACUGCCUUUGAAACGGGCAAACUGGAGUGUGUGAGAGGAUAGUGGAAUUCCAGGUGCAGGAGUGAAAGCCGUAGAUAUCUGGAGGAACAGCAGGGGCGAAGGCGACUAUCUGGCACAUAACUGACGCUGAGGAGCGAAAGCGUGGGUAGCAAACAGGAUUAGAUACCCGAGUAGUC
RNAcentral lists this ribosomal RNA (465 nucleotides) under uncultured bacterium. Its description in RNAcentral is "partial 16S ribosomal RNA". It matches the Rfam family "Bacterial small subunit ribosomal RNA", at positions 338 to 795 of the family's 1533-position model. The record is from RNAcentral.